RNAcentral lists this long non-coding RNA (159 nucleotides) under Bos indicus x Bos taurus (hybrid cattle). RNAcentral's name for it is "lncRNA (ENSBIXG00000028556.1)". Lineage: Eukaryota; Metazoa; Chordata; Mammalia; Artiodactyla; Bovidae. The record is from RNAcentral.
GGAAUGAAAACCACGGGGAAAAGCAAAACAUGAAAUCAAAACUAACAUAGGAUUUUCAAGCCUAGAGAGAUGAUAUAAACCCAGAAGACUCAUCACCAGUUCACAGGUGAGUCCUGACAAUUUGUCAUCGUAUCAAUGAUGACAAAUCUCAGUUAGCAU